AGAAAACUGUAUUUACAAUUUUUAGAUUGUCAUUAUUAAUUAUUCUUUGCAUAUUUGGGACUUUUUUCAACAUAUAAGCCUUACUGCCCCCUUGGUGAUACGGCCCUGAUGUGACCAGAGGCUCUCCGUUCUCACAUCUUGUUUCUUUCACCUCGCAAAGAGCCUCUGGAACCAGGGUACUCUUAAAGUAACACACAGACAGAGCAAAUAAUAUAAUGCUUUUAAAAAUCUUCAAUUUCAAAAGAGGCAGUAAAUUGGUAGGGAAAUCUUUCAAUAAUACCCUGUGGUUAUGGUAAACUAUGUACCAGUACCAGACAAUAUAAAUCCCUGCCUGCUCAAAUCUAGGAAGUGUGGGGGCCAUUGGGCAAAGCAGGGUCACUGAGGGCCUGUUUAUAUGAUCCUGCCUAGACGGGAUGUUUUCAUCCCGCCUAGAUGGGAAAUUCGCCUAGUGUUUAUAUGGACAAAAUACAUUGCCUGGAUGAAGCCAUUUAAGUGAGCUUGACGUCAUAUUUUUGUUGCAAUAAAGGCAUUUACGCAUGCUCAAAAGGGAAAAGUUCAUCCCACCUAGCUGGGAUGAAGUGUUUAUAUGGGAAUUUUUCGUCCCAGCUAGGCGGGAUGAAGUGUUUGUAUGGGAAUUUUUCAUCUCGUUUUGGCGGGAUCCUGGCAUCUGUUGCCGAGAUCCCGCCUAGGCGGGAUAAGUGGCAGGAUCAUAUAAACACUCUUUAGAAUUUGUAUUAUGAGCGGGAUCUCGGUAAGCACCCCGUCCGCCUGGCCGGGAUCAUACAUAUAAACAGGCCCUGAGACAAAACCAGAUAUUUACACAUUCCAGCAAUUUUGAUUAUGCAGUGCUGACUGCUGAGAAGUAAAAACUGCCAACUUCUGGGUUGGGGGAGGUGGUAAU
This is a non-coding RNA of Paramuricea clavata, 901 nucleotides long. NCBI's taxonomy places the organism in Eukaryota, Metazoa, Cnidaria, Anthozoa, Malacalcyonacea, Plexauridae. The record is from the annotation of a GenBank genome assembly.